This 382-nucleotide ribosomal RNA is filed under the name uncultured bacterium. Its description in RNAcentral is "bacterial SSU rRNA". It matches the Rfam family "Bacterial small subunit ribosomal RNA", at positions 354 to 754 of the family's 1533-position model. The record is from RNAcentral.
GUGGGGAAUAUUGCGCAAUGGGCGAAAGCCCGACCCAGCAACGCCGCGUGAAGGAUGAAGUAUUUCGGUAUGUAAACUUCGAAAGAAUAGGAAGAAUAAAUGACGGUACUAUUUAUAAGGUCCGGCUAACUACGUGCCAGCAGCCGCGGUAAUACGUAGGGACCAAGCGUUGUUCGGAUUUACUGGGCGUAAAGGGCGCGUAGGCGGCAAUUCAAGUCAUCUGUGAAAUCUCCGGGCUUAACUCGGAACGGUCAGAUGAUACUGCUUUGCUAGAGUGCAGAAGGGGCAAUCGGAAUUCUGGUGUAGCGGUGAAAUGCGUAGAUAUCAAGAGGAACACCUGAGGUGAAGACGGGUUGCUGGGCUGACACUGACGCUGAGGCGC